This 1451-nucleotide ribosomal RNA is filed under the name Staphylococcus aureus. RNAcentral describes it as "partial 23S ribosomal RNA". It matches the Rfam family "Bacterial large subunit ribosomal RNA", at positions 44 to 1495 of the family's 2925-position model. Lineage: Bacteria; Bacillati; Bacillota; Bacilli; Caryophanales; Staphylococcaceae. The record is from RNAcentral.
AGCCGAUGAAGGACGUUACUAACGACGAUAUGCUUUGGGGAGCUGUAAGUAAGCUUUGAUCCAGAGAUUUCCGAAUGGGGAAACCCAGCAUGAGUUAUGUCAUGUUAUCGAUAUGUGAAUACAUAGCAUAUCAGAAGGCACACCCGGAGAACUGAAACAUCUUAGUACCCGGAGGAAGAGAAAGAAAAUUCGAUUCCCUUAGUAGCGGCGAGCGAAACGGGAAGAGCCCAAACCAACAAGCUUGCUUGUUGGGGUUGUAGGACACUCUAUACGGAGUUACAAAGGACGACAUUAGACGAAUCAUCUGGAAAGAUGAAUCAAAGAAGGUAAUAAUCCUGUAGUCGAAAAUGUUGUCUCUCUUGAGUGGAUCCUGAGUACGACGGAGCACGUGAAAUUCCGUCGGAAUCUGGGAGGACCAUCUCCUAAGGCUAAAUACUCUCUAGUGACCGAUAGUGAACCAGUACCGUGAGGGAAAGGUGAAAAGCACCCCGGAAGGGGAGUGAAAUAGAACCUGAAACCGUGUGCUUACAAGUAGUCAGAGCCCGUUAAUGGGUGAUGGCGUGCCUUUUGUAGAAUGAACCGGCGAGUUACGAUUUGAUGCAAGGUUAAGCAGUAAAUGUGGAGCCGUAGCGAAAGCGAGUCUGAAUAGGGCGUUUAGUAUUUGGUCGUAGACCCGAAACCAGGUGAUCUACCCUUGGUCAGGUUGAAGUUCAGGUAACACUGAAUGGAGGACCGAACCGACUUACGUUGAAAAGUGAGCGGAUGAACUGAGGGUAGCGGAGAAAUUCCAAUCGAACCUGGAGAUAGCUGGUUCUCUCCGAAAUAGCUUUAGGGCUAGCCUCAAGUGAUGAUUAUUGGAGGUAGAGCACUGUUUGGACGAGGGGCCCCUCUCGGGUUACCGAAUUCAGACAAACUCCGAAUGCCAAUUAAUUUAACUUGGGAGUCAGAACAUGGGUGAUAAGGUCCGUGUUCGAAAGGGAAACAGCCCAGACCACCAGCUAAGGUCCCAAAAUAUAUGUUAAGUGGAAAAGGAUGUGGCGUUGCCCAGACAACUAGGAUGUUGGCUUAGAAGCAGCCAUCAUUUAAAGAGUGCGUAAUAGCUCACUAGUCGAGUGACACUGCGCCGAAAAUGUACCGGGGCUAAACAUAUUACCGAAGCUGUGGAUUGUCCUUUGGACAAUGGUAGGAGAGCGUUCUAAGGGCGUUGAAGCAUGAUCGUAAGGACAUGUGGAGCGCUUAGAAGUGAGAAUGCCGGUGUGAGUAGCGAAAGACGGGUGAGAAUCCCGUCCACCGAUUGACUAAGGUUUCCAGAGGAAGGCUCGUCCGCUCUGGGUUAGUCGGGUCCUAAGCUGAGGCCGACAGGCGUAGGCGAUGGAUAACAGGUUGAUAUUCCUGUACCACCUAUAAUCGUUUUAAUCGAUGGGGGGACGCAGUAGGAUAGGCGAAGCGUG